Molecule: small nuclear RNA, 19 nt
Filed under: Arabidopsis thaliana (thale cress)
Lineage: Eukaryota; Viridiplantae; Streptophyta; Magnoliopsida; Brassicales; Brassicaceae
Description: snRNA_12462
Source: RNAcentral
GGAACGUAGUCAUUCAUGA